RNAcentral lists this ribosomal RNA (676 nucleotides) under uncultured bacterium. RNAcentral's name for it is "bacterial SSU rRNA". It matches the Rfam family "Bacterial small subunit ribosomal RNA", at positions 54 to 821 of the family's 1533-position model. The record is from RNAcentral.
CAUGCGAGUCAGCGUACGUGGCGACGGGUGAGUAUGGCAGGCACCAUUGCCCAAAGCCUGGAAAAAUCCCAGAUAAAAAGAUUUAUCGCUUUUGGAUACGUCUGCACAGGAUUAGAUUUUCGUAGAGAGUCGACGAUUCUUAGCUGAUCUGGGAAGGAUGCACAGCCACAUUGGAACUGAGACAAGGUCCAAGCUCCAGUAGGAGGCAGCAGUGAGGAAUAUUGGGCAAUGGGCGAAAGCCUGACCCAACGACACCCCGUGAUUGAAGAAGGUCAAGGCCGUAAAGAUACGAGGUUGGUCAAGAUUGCGACGGUAACCGGCCAAAAAGCCCCGGCUAACUCCGUGCCAGCAGCCGCGGUAAUACGGGGGGGGGCAAGUGUUAUUCGCAAUGACUGGGCGUAAAGGGGUGCGGUAGGGCUGCUUGUCCCCUCCCCUCAUUUGCGAAAGGCUAGGGCUCAACCCUGGGUGUGUCUUUUGGCAUUGCAAGCUUUUGGGUUUGGGCAGGGGUCGGUGGAAUUCUCAGAAGAGGGGGUACCAUCGCAGGGGACACUGAGGCGAACACCGAGGGGCGAAGGCGACCGACUGGACCAAACUGACGCUAAAGCACGGAAGCCGCAGUACAAAUAGGAUUUAGAUCCCCUAGUAGUCUGCCGCCGAUCAACGAUGGGUAUUGCAA